UAAAAAUUUAAAAACAAUUUAAAAAAUGAAAGCAAUGAGUUUGCUACUAUUACGUGUGUUCCCCAGGUGGAAUUUGUGGAUUACGUGUUCCACGGGGAGCGGGGCCGGCGGGAGACGGCGAACCUGGAGCUGCUGCUGCAGCGCUGCAGUGAGGUGCAGCACUGGGUGGGCACGGAGCUGCUGCUCUGCGAGGCGCUGGGCAAGCGCGCCCACCUGCUCAAGAAGCUCAUCAAGAUCGCUGCCAUCUGCAAGCAGAACCAGGACAUGCUCUCCUUCUACGCCAUCGUCAUCGGCCUCAACAACGCCGCCAUCAGCCGCCUGCGCCUCACCUGGGAGAAGCUCCCAGGGAAAUUCAAGAAUCUGUUUCGGAAGUUUGAGAACCUGACGGUGGGUGAGAGGUGUGGGGGCUGCUGUGGGUGUUGGGAGGGGGGUCCUCAGGCCUCCCCUGGGGGUUUUGGGGUGCUGGUGAGCAGGGGACGUACCCAAGGUGUCCUGGGGUGUCCUGGGGUGUCCUUGCCCCUCUCCCCCAGGCCACCAGCCCCACACCCAUGGCCACCAGCAUGGUGGGGGGGAGAAUCCAGGGCAUCCC
Molecule: long non-coding RNA, 589 nt
Filed under: Serinus canaria (Common canary)
Lineage: Eukaryota; Metazoa; Chordata; Aves; Passeriformes; Fringillidae
Description: lncRNA (ENSSCAG00000007955.1)
Source: RNAcentral